GAUGAACGCUGGCGGCGUGCCUAAUACAUGCAAGUCGAGCGAACGGACGAGAAGCUUGCUUCUCUGAUGUUAGCGGCGGACGGGUGAGUAACACGUGGAUAACCUACCUAUAAGACUGGGAUAACUUCGGGAAACCGUAGCUAAUACCGGAUAAUAUUUUGAACCGCAUGGUUCAAAAGUGAAAGACGGUCUUGCUGUCACUUAUAGAUGGAUCCGCGCUGCAUUAGCUAGUUGGUAAGGUAACGGCUUACCAAGGCAACGAUGCAUAGCCGACCUGAGAGGGUGAUCGGCCACACUGGAACUGAGACACGGUCCAGACUCCUACGGGAGGCAGCAGUAGGGAAUCUUCCGCAAUGGGCGAAAGCCUGACGGAGCAACGCCGCGUGAGUGAUGAAGGUCUUCGGAUCGUAAAACUCUGUUAUUAGGGAAGAACAUAUGUGUAAGUAACUGUGCACAUCUCGACGGCACCUAAUCAGAAAGCCACGGCUAACUACGUG
Molecule: ribosomal RNA, 497 nt
Filed under: uncultured bacterium
Lineage: Bacteria
Description: partial 16S ribosomal RNA
Rfam family: Bacterial small subunit ribosomal RNA
Source: RNAcentral